UACGGAGGAUCCAAGCGUUAUCCGGAAUCAUUGGGUUUAAAGGGUCCGCAGGCGGGAUAAUAAGUCGGUGGUGAAAGUCUGCAGCUCAACUGUAGAACUGCCAUUCAUACUGUCGUCCUUGAGUUCUGGUGAAGUGGUUGGAAUAUGUAGUGUAGCGGUGAAAUGCAUAGAUAUUACAUAGAACACCGAUUGCGAAGGCAGAUCACUAACAAUACACUGACGCUGAUGGACGAAAGCGUAGGUAGCGAACAGG
This 253-nucleotide unclassified non-coding RNA is filed under the name uncultured Flavobacteriaceae bacterium. RNAcentral's name for it is "contains 16S-23S intergenic spacer region". It matches the Rfam family "Bacterial small subunit ribosomal RNA", at positions 524 to 776 of the family's 1533-position model. Lineage: Bacteria; Pseudomonadati; Bacteroidota; Flavobacteriia; Flavobacteriales; Flavobacteriaceae. The record is from RNAcentral.